This is a small nuclear RNA of Ochotona curzoniae (black-lipped pika), 104 nucleotides long. The record is from RefSeq and is a predicted model, not a curated record. Lineage: Eukaryota; Metazoa; Chordata; Mammalia; Lagomorpha; Ochotonidae.
GUGCUUGUUUCGGCAGCACAUACACUAAACUGGAACGAUACAGAGAAGACUAGCAUGGUCCCUGUGCAAGGAUGACACUCGUUCCUGAAGCGUUCCAUGUUUCA